UGGGGAAUAUUGCACAAUGGGCGCAAGCCUGAUGCAGCGACGCCGCGUGGGGGAUGACGGCCUUCGGGUUGUAAACCUCUUUCGACAGGGACGAAGCUUUGGUGACGGUACCUGUAUAAGAAGCACCGGCUAACUACGUGCCAGCAGCCGCGGUAAUACGUAGGGUGCGAGCGUUGUCCGGAAUUACUGGGCGUAAAGAGCUCGUAGGUGGUUUGUCGCGUCGUCUGUGAAAUUCCGGGGCUUAACUUCGGGCGUGCAGGCGAUACGGGCAUAACUUGAGUGCUGUAGGGGAGACUGGAAUUCCUGGUGUAGCGGUGGAAUGCGCAGAUAUCAGGAGGAACACCGAUGGCGAAGGCAGGUCUCUGGGCAGUAACUGACGCUGAGGAGCGAAAGCAUGGGGAGCGAACA
This 408-nucleotide ribosomal RNA is filed under the name uncultured Corynebacterium sp. RNAcentral's name for it is "partial 16S ribosomal RNA". It matches the Rfam family "Bacterial small subunit ribosomal RNA", at positions 355 to 774 of the family's 1533-position model. Lineage: Bacteria; Bacillati; Actinomycetota; Actinomycetes; Mycobacteriales; Corynebacteriaceae. The record is from RNAcentral.